GAUGAACGCUGACAGAAUGCUUAACACAUGCAAGUCAACUUGAACUUCGGUUUGGGUGGCGGACGGGUGAGUAACGCGUAAAGAACUUGCCUCACAGAUAGGGACAACAUUUGGAAACGAAUGCUAAUACCUGAUAUUAUGAUUUUAGGGCAUCCUAGAAUUAUGAAAGCUAUAUGCACUGUGAGAGAGCUUUGCAUCCCAUUAGCUAGUUGGAGAGGUAACGGCUCACCAAGGCGAUGAUGGGUAGCCGGCCUGAGAGGGUGAUCGGCCACAAGGGGACUGAGACACGGCCCUUACUCCUACGGGAGGCAGCAGUGGGGAAUAUUGGACAAUGGACCAAGAGUCUGAUCCAGCAAUUCUGUGUGCACGAUGAAGUUUUUCGGAAUGUAAAGUGCUUUCAGUUGGGAAGAAAAAAUGACGGUACCAACUGAAGAAGUGACGGCUAAAUACGUG
This 453-nucleotide ribosomal RNA is filed under the name uncultured bacterium. Its description in RNAcentral is "bacterial SSU rRNA". It matches the Rfam family "Bacterial small subunit ribosomal RNA", at positions 28 to 507 of the family's 1533-position model. The record is from RNAcentral.